CUGGCGGCGUGCUUAACACAUGCAAGUCGAACGCUUCACUUCGGUGAAGAGUGGCGAACGGGUGAGUAAUACAUAAGUAACCUGGCAUCUACAGGGGGAUAACUGAUGGAAACGUCAGCUAAGACCGCAUAGGUGUAGAGAUCGCAUGAACUCUAUAUGAAAAGUGCUACGGGACUGGUAGAUGAUGGACUUAUGGCGCAUUAGCUUGUUGGUAGGGUAACGGCCUACCAAGGCGACGAUCCGUAGCCGACCUGAGAGGGUGACCGGCCACAUUGGAACUGAGACACGGCCCAGACUCCUACGGGAGGCAGCAGUAGGGAAUUUUCGGCAAUGGGGGAAACCCUGACCGAGCAACGCCGCGUGAAGGAAGAAGUAAUUCGUUAUGUAAACUUCUGUCAUAGAGGAAGAACGGUGGAUAUAGGGAAUGAUAUCCAAGUGACGGUACUCUAUAAGAAAGCCACGGCUAACUACGUGCCAGCAGCCGCGGUAAUACGUAGGUGGCGAGCGUUAUCCGGAAUUAUUGGGCGUAAAGAGGGAGCAGGCGGCACUAAGGGUCUGUGGUGAAAGAUCGAAGCUUAACUUCGGUAAGCCAUGGAAACCGUAGAGCUAGAGUGUGUGAGAGGAUCGUGGAAUUCCAUGUGUAGCGGUGAAAUGCGUAGAUAUAUGGAGGAACACCAGUGGCGAAGGCGACGAUCUGGCGCAUAACUGACGCUCAGUCCCGAAAGCGUGGGGAGCAAAUAGGAUUAGAUACCCUAGUAGUCCACGCCGUAAACGAUGAGUACUAAGUGUUGGGUGUCAAAGCUCAGUGCUGCAGUUAACGCAAUAAGUACUCCGCCUGAGU
Molecule: ribosomal RNA, 841 nt
Filed under: human gut metagenome
Description: bacterial SSU rRNA
Rfam family: Bacterial small subunit ribosomal RNA
Source: RNAcentral